Molecule: non-coding RNA, 539 nt
Organism: Maylandia zebra (zebra mbuna)
Lineage: Eukaryota; Metazoa; Chordata; Actinopteri; Cichliformes; Cichlidae
Source: RefSeq, a predicted model, not a curated record
AGUCAAUUAGGAUCGAUAUACCUUGUAUAUCCACAAGGUGGCAGUAAUGCAAAAACAGUUGUAAUGAAACCGCGCAGAACAAGAAGGUUUCACGGCUUGUGCCUGCUCAUGCGCAAGACUUCAAAUUUAACUGAAAAAGGCUGUUUUGGCGCCAAGCUACUGUUUCUUUGAGAGAUCCUGCCUUUACCUGCUCCCUCCUAUACUGAUGUGGUGUAUGUGGUAUUGCUGAGCUUGUAUGUGGUGGAAGCAGAAUAUGUGAGGAUUACUACUGCUGCACAUGUUCCAAGGCUUUUUACACAACUUGACCAAUACACUGACCAGCUCAUAAAAGUCUUCAAGAAAAAAGGAGGCGUUGCAGGGAAGAAAAUUAGACAAACUUUGGCCCCAGCCACACAGAAGGAAAGUAUUGAAAAGGGGAGGGAGUGUGUCCUCAGGGCACUACCUUUUUACCUGAAUGAAGACCCAAGCAUCCUCUUCAAAGAAUAAUUGCUACAGCUGUUCAGAGGGAGCUGGAACAAAUUACCCUUGCUAUCUUUACC